UAAGUAGGCGGCCUAUUAAGUGAGAGGUGAAAUCUUCCGGCUCAAUCGGAAAACUGCUUUUCAAACUGAUAGACUUGAGAUUGGAAGAGGGAAACGGAAUUAGCAGUGUAAGGGUGAAAUCUGUAGAUAUUGCUAAGAACACCAGCGGCGAAGGCGGUUUCCUGGUCCAAAUCUGACGCUAAAUUACGAAAGCUAGGGGAGCAAACAGGAUUAGAUACCCUGGUAGUCC
RNAcentral lists this ribosomal RNA (229 nucleotides) under uncultured bacterium. RNAcentral describes it as "partial 16S ribosomal RNA". It matches the Rfam family "Bacterial small subunit ribosomal RNA", at positions 568 to 796 of the family's 1533-position model. The record is from RNAcentral.